Molecule: ribosomal RNA, 449 nt
Filed under: uncultured bacterium
Lineage: Bacteria
Description: partial 16S ribosomal RNA
Rfam family: Bacterial small subunit ribosomal RNA
Source: RNAcentral
GUCGAGAAUCUUUCACAAUGGGGGCAACCCUGAUGGAGCGACGCCGCGUGGAGGAUAAGGUCUUCGGAUUGUAAACUCCUGUCAUGCGUGAACAAGGUUGCUUGGUUAAUACGUGGGCAAAUUGAUGGUAACGCAAGAGGAAGAGACGGCUAACUCUGUGCCAGCAGCCGCGGUAAUACAGAGGUCUCAAGCGUUGUUCGGAAUCACUGGGCGUAAAGGGUGCGUAGGUGGCGUGGUAAGUCAGAUGUGAAAGCCCGGGGCUCAACCUCGGAACUGCAUCCGAUACUGCCAUGCUAGAGUACUGGAGAGGUGACUAGAAUUCUCGGUGUAGCAGUGAAAUGCGUAGAUAUCGAGAGGAAUACCAAAGGCGUAGGCAGGUCACUGGACAGUUACUGACACUGAGGCACGAAGGCCAGGGGAGCGAACGGGAUUAGAAACCCGAGUAGUCC